Molecule: transfer RNA, 85 nt
Filed under: Enhydrobacter sp.
Lineage: Bacteria; Pseudomonadati; Pseudomonadota; Alphaproteobacteria; Hyphomicrobiales
Also listed under: 5 other names
Description: tRNA-Leu
Rfam family: tRNA
About the family: Transfer RNA (tRNA) molecules are approximately 80 nucleotides in length. Their secondary structure includes four short double-helical elements and three loops (D, anti-codon, and T loops). Further hydrogen bonds mediate the characteristic L-shaped molecular structure. tRNAs have two regions of fundamental functional importance: the anti-codon, which is responsible for specific mRNA codon recognition, and the 3' end, to which the tRNAs corresponding amino acid is attached (by aminoacyl-tRNA synthetases). tRNAs cope with the degeneracy of the genetic code in two manners: having more than one tRNA (with a specific anti-codon) for a particular amino acid; and 'wobble' base-pairing, i.e. permitting non-standard base-pairing at the 3rd anti-codon position.
Source: RNAcentral
GCGGGCGUGGUGGAAUUGGUAGACACGCGAGACUUAGGAUCUCGUGCCGCAAGGCGUGGGGGUUCAAGUCCCUUCGCCCGCACCA